Molecule: long non-coding RNA, 637 nt
Organism: Solanum lycopersicum (tomato)
Lineage: Eukaryota; Viridiplantae; Streptophyta; Magnoliopsida; Solanales; Solanaceae
Source: RefSeq, a predicted model, not a curated record
AAGUGCAAAGUUAUUUUAUUUACGUAUUUUUUCCACAAGAAAUUGUUCAUCUUCUCCCAAGCCGCUCACUAUGAACUCCAAUGCAAACCCUAGACCUCCCCUUCCUCUUAUUUUCUCUUUAUUGUUAUCUUGGUGAGUGAGUAUGUGAGAUAGAACCUUGAUUUCAUCUACUGCCUGGAUUUUCUCCCUGUGACUAAGCGAUUAUGUAGGUUAGAUCGAGAUAAUUGACUUGCUUGCAUAAUGAUUGAACUUGUUGGGUUUGUUCUUGAGAAGAAGUAUUUGGAGUUUUUGUGAUGGUGGAUAUCCUAUAGCAACAAGGCGAUACUUUAAAUGGAUGGGAGAGAUUGCAGAAGAGAUCAAAGAUUUGUAAUUGAAAGAACCUUGAAGAAACUGCAGAGAAAAUGUAUGUGACUGGAAAAGUUUAAAGAAGUUGAAGCACAAGAGAAAUAUAUUUUCUAUCUUUUUUAGGAGUUUGAUAAUAUUAUCAUGUGUAUAUGUGACAUAAUAUUCUCAUAAUGUAGGAUGUAGACUAUUAUAAUGGCAUACACCUGUUUAUAGUAAUGCUUAUUCUUUGUAAUUAAAUUUUGGUAGUUCAUAUAUGACUCAAAUCAUGAAUGAUAAUUAUUAAGUUUUUGUA